UCUACGGGUGGCAGCAGUGAGGAAUAUUGGUCAAUGGGCGCGAGCCUGAACCAGCCAAGUCGCGUGAGGGAUGACGGUCCUACGGAUUGUAAACCUCUUUUGCCGGGGAGCAAGCGUGCGUUCGUGAACGCACGUCGAGAGUAACCGGAGAAAAAGCAUCGGCUAAGUCCGUGCCAGCAGCCGCGGUAAUACGGAGGAUGCGAGAGUUAUCCGGAUUUAGUGGGUUUAAAGGGUGCGGAGGCGGGAUGCCAAGACAGCGGUACAAAUGAGGUGAUCAACGCCGUCGAGCCGUUGAAACUGGCGUUCUUGAGUGGGCGAGAAGUAUGCGGAAUGAGUGGUGUAGCGGUGAAAUGCAUAGAUAUCACGCAGAACUCCGAUUGCGAAGGCAGCAUACCGGCGCCCUACUGACGCUGAGGCACGAAAGCGUGGGUAUCGAACAGGAUUAGAUACCCUAGUAGUC
Molecule: ribosomal RNA, 460 nt
Filed under: uncultured bacterium
Lineage: Bacteria
Description: partial 16S ribosomal RNA
Rfam family: Bacterial small subunit ribosomal RNA
Source: RNAcentral